AUUGAACGCUGGCGGCAGGCCUAACACAUGCAAGUCGAGCGGAUGAAGGGAGCUUGCUCCUGGAUUCAGCGGCGGACGGGUGAGUAAUGCCUAGGAAUCUGCCUGGUAGUGGGGGAUAACGUCCGGAAACUGGCGCUAAUACCGCAUACGUCCUGAGGGAGAAAGUGGGGGAUCUUCGGACCUCACGCUAUCCGAUGAGCCUAGGUCGGAUUAGCUAGUUGGUGGGGUAAAGGCCUACCAAGGCGACGAUCCGUAACUGGUCUGAGAGGAUGAUCAGUCACACUGGAACUGAGAAACGGUCCAGACUCCUACGGGAGGCAGCAGUGGGGAAUAUUGGACAAUGGGCGAAAGCCUGAUCCAGCCAUGCCGCGUGUGGGAAGCAGGUCUUCGGAUUGUAAAGCACUUUAAGUUGGGAGGAAGGGCAGUAAGUUAAUACCUUGCUGUUUUGACGUUACCAAAAGAAUAAGCACCGGCUAACUUCGUG
RNAcentral lists this ribosomal RNA (484 nucleotides) under uncultured bacterium. RNAcentral describes it as "partial 16S ribosomal RNA". It matches the Rfam family "Bacterial small subunit ribosomal RNA", at positions 30 to 507 of the family's 1533-position model. The record is from RNAcentral.